This is a long non-coding RNA of Triticum aestivum (bread wheat), 1328 nucleotides long. RefSeq lists it as uncharacterized. NCBI's taxonomy places the organism in Eukaryota, Viridiplantae, Streptophyta, Magnoliopsida, Poales, Poaceae. The transcript is spliced from 3 exons. The record is from RefSeq and is a predicted model, not a curated record.
GCGUGUUCCUCAUGAACACCCAAUCCCGAAUCCAAUCCGUUGGGAUUCACUCAAAUCUGUAGUCCCGUCUCCAAGUUGACCCAUAUAUAUAGAUGCCCGUGUGCUCCUCAUCCGAUUUUUGGAAAAAUCAAAGGAUCCCGUGCCCUACACCUCCCUCCCGAUCUCCCUGAACUUGCGCCGCUGACAGAAGCUUUCGCGGUGAAUUUCGUCGCCAUCGCGGUGGAGCACCCAAUCGAGCAGACGGACGUUGACAGAAGCAGUUCGCCGCUGGCCACAGAGAGACCCCUCCUUCGCCGUUAGAACUACCAUCGUCACCUCCGUUGAUCGCCGCGUCUGCACGUCACCUCGCCUUCGCCGGAGAACCGCCGGGGGAAGCGCCGUCGCCCACGCCCGAGCCGCGCCGCCGCCGUCUCGUUCAAGUCCGGCGACCACACAGCCUCUGUUUUCCGAUUGUCCAGAGUGUGAAGCGGACCAGAAUUAAGCGUUAGAGUACUUCAACACCGUUCAAGGCAAGUUUGCACUUUUGAUUUUGCUCAUCCUAUAUUCUGCUAUGCGUGUGUGGUUUUAUGCUAUGCUAUAUGUUUGGCUUGAUAUGUGUAUCCCGUGUUACCAUGUUUUGUUGUCGAUUGUGGUAUGUGAUGGUGUGAUCAACUUGCUAUGGUAGACGUGGGCAUGUGUCGAGUGAUUCCAUGAAAGUGGUGAGUGUUUAUAGCCGUAGGCUCGGGAUAAUUAACCAGGUGAAUGCGUCACUGGCAGAGCGCUCUAUUGUCCCUAGAGAAUGCGCCAUUGACAGAGCGCACUUGAGGCGAGGUAUAGUUUUCGGAACAUAAAUCAGGUGAAUGCGUCCUUGGCAGAGUGCUCUAUUGUUCCUAGAGAAUGCGCCACUGACAGAGCGCACUUGAGACAUACUUCUGAAGUUCUUGUCAUGUUUAUUUAGAAUCUUUGGGUUAUCUUGAGCGAGUAAAUUAGAGACGGUUGUGAGUUCAGGUAGUGGAGGUAGGUGAAGACAUUCUUCUCCAAACUAACUUGCGUGUUUUGUUUGUCAUACAUUGCUUUGUGGAUGUAGGUUUGCUUUAUCAUAUUGUGUGAUUUGCCAAUACAUUCAAUGUAUUGACCCUUUGUGGCUGCAACUUAUCAUGUUGCAGGAUUUUCAGAUGAUCAGUGAGAUACAGUAGGGUCGCGAGUCUUCACUCAGCAUUUUCGCCAGUGGGCAGUGAUGGGACUCAUCGUCUAUUAUGCUACAUUUCCACUGUUGUUAUUGAAUACAGCUAGCGAUGUGCUAUUCCAUUUGUAAUACUUUAUGAAUUCUGGAUCAUACGUUAUAGUAA